UCCGUAGGUGAACCUGCGGAAGGANUCAUUAAUGAGUUAGGGUCUUCUAGGCCCGACCUCCCAACCCUUUGUUUACUUGACCUCAGUUGCUUCGGCAGGCCCGUCUUAAGCUGACCGCUGGAGGACCGCUCAAUGCGGGCGGUUGCCUCUGGCCAGUGUCUGCCGAUAGCCUAAUCUCCUAACUCUGGAUCAAUCAUGAUUUACAAUGUCUAAGUGAUUUUAUUCAAUUAAAAGCAAAAACUUUCAACAACGGAUCUCUUGGUUCUGGCAUCGAUGAAGAACGCAGCGAAAUGCGAUAAGUAAUGCGAAUUGCAGAAUUCCAGUGAGUCAUCGAAUCUUUGAACGCACAUUGCGCCCUUUGGUAUUCCGAAGGCAUGCCUGUUCGAGCGUCAUUAUCACCCCCUCAAGCCCCUGUGCUUGGUGUUGGACGGCUUGGUGGAGUAAGUUCACACUUUCCACCCCUCCUAAAGACAAUGACGGCGGCCUGCGGAACCCCCGGUACACUGAGCUUCUUAACUGAGCACGUAUCGGAUGAAGGGCGCCCGGGACCCGGUCUUUCUCCUCACGGGAACACUUUUUUUCUAAGGUUGACCUCGGAUCAGGUAGGAAUACGCGCUGAACUUAAGCAUAUCAAUAAGCGGAGGA
RNAcentral lists this ribosomal RNA (645 nucleotides) under Fonsecaea pedrosoi. RNAcentral's name for it is "eukaryotic LSU rRNA". The stretch from base 239 to 392 matches the Rfam family "5.8S ribosomal RNA". The record is from RNAcentral. Lineage: Eukaryota; Fungi; Ascomycota; Eurotiomycetes; Chaetothyriales; Herpotrichiellaceae.